CAUCAUAGCGAGGAAAAGAAACCAACAGGGAUUGCCCUAGUAACGGCGAGUGAAGCGGCAAUAGCUCAAAUUUGAAAGCUGGCUUACGCCCGCAUUGUAAUUUGUAGAGGAUGCUUUUAGGCAGCCGCCGGUCUAAGUUCCUUGGAACAGGACGUCAUAGAGGGUGAGAAUCCCGUAUGUGACCGGCUCUGGCACCUUCUGUAAAGCUCCUUCGACGAGUCGAGUUGUUUGGGAAUGCAGCUCUAAAUGGGAGGUAAAUUUCUUCUAAAGCUAAAUAUUGGCGAGAGACCGAUAGCGCACAAGUAGAGUGAUCGAAAGAUGAAAAGCACUUUGGAAAGAGAGUUAAAAAGCACGUGAAAUUGUUGAAAGGGAAGCGCUUGCAAUCAGACUUGGACUUGACUGUUCAACAGGUCUUCUGACCUGCCUAUUCAGUCUUGUCCAGGCCAGCAUCAGUUUCGGCGGCCGGAUAAAGGCCCUGGGAAUGUGGCCUCUCCUUCGGGAGAGGUGUUAUAGCCCAGGGUGUAAUACGGCCAGCUGGGACUGAGGUCCGCGCUUCGGCUAGGAUGCUGGCGUAAUGGUUGUAAGCGGCCCGUCUUGAAACACGGACCAAGGAGUCUAACAUCUAUGCGAGUGUUAGGGUGUCAAACCCUUACGCGUAAUGAAAGUGAACGGAGGUGAGAACCCGCAAGGGUGCAUCAUCGACCGAUCCUGAUGUCUUCGGAUGGAUUUGAGUAUGAGCAUAGCUGUUGGGACCCGAAAGAUGGUGAACUAUGCCUGAAUAGGGUGAAGCCAGAGGAAACUCUGGUGGAGGCUCGCAGCGGUUCUGACGUGCAAAUCGAUCGUCAAAUUUGGGUAUAGGGGCGAAAGACUAAUCGAACCAUCUAGUACUGUCUG
Molecule: ribosomal RNA, 894 nt
Filed under: Dothidea kunmingensis
Lineage: Eukaryota; Fungi; Ascomycota; Dothideomycetes; Dothideales; Dothideaceae
Description: Dothidea sp. YG-2021a partial large subunit ribosomal RNA
Rfam family: Eukaryotic large subunit ribosomal RNA
Source: RNAcentral